This 960-nucleotide ribosomal RNA is filed under the name Amanita sp. 'QUE03'. RNAcentral's name for it is "eukaryotic LSU rRNA". It matches the Rfam family "Eukaryotic large subunit ribosomal RNA", at positions 1 to 929 of the family's 3401-position model. The record is from RNAcentral. Lineage: Eukaryota; Fungi; Basidiomycota; Agaricomycetes; Agaricales; Amanitaceae.
UUGACCUCAAAUCAGGUAGGACUACCCGCUGAACUUAAGCAUAUCAAUAAGCGGAGGAAAAGAAACUAACGAGGAUUCCCCUAGUAACUGCGAGUGAAGCGGGAAAAGCUCAAAUUUGAAAUCUGGCAGCCUUUUUUUUCUUCUUUGGCUGUCCGAGUUGUAAUCUAGAGAAGCGCUUACCUGCGCUGGACCAUGUAUAAGUCUCCUGGAAUGGAGCGUCGCAGAGGGUGAGAAUCCCGUCUUUGACAUGGACUGCCAGCGUGUUGUGGUGCGCUCUCAAAGAGUCGAGUUGUUUGGGAAUGCAGCUCUAAACGGGUGGUAAACUCCAUCUAAAGCUAAAUAUUGGCGAGAGACCGAUAGCGAACAAGUACCGUGAGGGAAAGAUGAAAAGGACUUUGGAAAGAGAGUUAAACAGUAUGUGAAAUUGUUGAAAGGGAAACGCUUGAAGUCAGUUAUGUCGGCGAGGGAUCAGCCUAGCUUGUUGCCGGGUGAAUUUCCUGGCCUGACAGGCCAACGUCAGUCUUGACUGCCGGAAAAGAGCAGAGGGAAUGUGGCACCUUUGGGUGUGUUAUAGCCCUUUGUCAUGUGUGGCAGUCGGGACUGAGGGACGCAGCGUGCCGCGAGGCUGGGUUUCGACCACGUUCACGCUUAGGACGUUGGCUUCAAAUGGCUUCAAUCGACCCGUCUUGAAACACGGACCAAGGAGUCUAACAUGCCUGCGAGUGUUUGGGUGGAAAACCCUUGCGCGCAAUGAAAGUGAAAGUUGAGAUCCCUGUCGUGGGGAGCGUCGACGCCCGGACUUGAGCUUUUAGCGACGGAUCCGCGGUAGAGCAUGCAUGUUGGGACCCGAAAGAUGGUGAACUAUGCCUGAAUAGGGCAAAGCCAGAGGAAACUCUGGUGGAGGCUCGUAGCGAUUCUGACGUGCAAAUCGAUCGUCAAAUUUGGGUAUAGGGGCGAAAG